This 500-nucleotide ribosomal RNA is filed under the name uncultured bacterium. RNAcentral describes it as "partial 16S ribosomal RNA". It matches the Rfam family "Bacterial small subunit ribosomal RNA", at positions 30 to 523 of the family's 1533-position model. The record is from RNAcentral.
AUUGAACGCUGGCGGAAUGCUUUACACAUGCAAGUCGAACGGCAGCACGGGGGCAACCCUGGUGGCGAGUGGCGAACGGGUGAGUAAUACAUCGGAACGUGCCCAGUCGUGGGGGAUAACGUAGCGAAAGGUACGCUAAUACCGCAUACGAUCUACGGAUGAAAGCGGGGGACCGGAAGGCCUCGCGCGAUUGGAUCGGCCGAUGUCAGAUUAGGUAGUUGGUGAGGUAAAGGCUCACCAAGCCGACGAUCUGUAGCUGGUCUGAGAGGACGACCAGCCACACUGGGACUGAGACACGGCCCAGACUCCUACGGGAGGCAGCAGUGGGGAAUUUUGGACAAUGGGCGCAAGCCUGAUCCAGCCAUUCCGCGUGCAGGACGAAGGCCUUCGGGUUGUAAACUGCUUUUGUACGGAACGAAAAGGCUCUGGUUAAUACCUGGGGCUCAUGACGGUACCGUAAGAAUAAGCACCGGCUAACUACGUGCCAGCCGCCGCAGUAA